Molecule: ribosomal RNA, 460 nt
Filed under: uncultured bacterium
Lineage: Bacteria
Description: partial 16S ribosomal RNA
Rfam family: Bacterial small subunit ribosomal RNA
Source: RNAcentral
CCUACGGGAGGCAGCAGUGAGGAAUAUUGGUCAAUGGACGCGAGCCUGAACCAGCCAAGUAGCGUGCAGGAUGACUGCCCUACGGGUUGUAAACUUCUUUUGUAAAAGAGUAAAGUGAGACACGUGUGCCUUGUUGUAUGUACUUUAUGAAUAAGGAUCGGCUAACUCCGUGCCAGCAGCCGCGGUAAUACGGAGGAUCCGAGCGUUAUCCGGAUUUAUUGGGUUUAAAGGGAGCGUAGGUGGGUUGUUAAGUCAGUUGUGAAAUUUUCCGGCUUAACCGUGAAAUUGCCAUUGAUACUGGUAGUCUGGAGUAUAGUUGCGGUAGGCGGAAUGCGUGGUGUAGCGGUGAAAUGCUUAGAUAUCAUGCAGAACUCCGAUUGCGAAGGCAGCUUACUAAACUGCAACUGACAUUGAUGCUCGAAAGUGUGGGUAGCAAACAGGAUUAGAUACCCGAGUAGUC